Molecule: ribosomal RNA, 305 nt
Filed under: uncultured bacterium
Lineage: Bacteria
Description: bacterial SSU rRNA
Rfam family: Bacterial small subunit ribosomal RNA
Source: RNAcentral
UUGAGCCUACGGGGGGCAGCAGUGGGGAAUAUUGCGCAAUGGGGGCAACCCUGACGCAGCAACGCCGCGUGAUUGAAGAAGGCCUUCGGGUUGUAAAGAUCUUUAAGCAGGGACGAAGAAAUGACGGUACCUGAAGAAUAAGCUCCGGCUAACUACGUGCCAGCAGCCGCGGUAAUACGUAGGGGGCGAGCGUUAUCCGGAUUUACUGGGUGUAAAGGGAGCGUAGACGGUUCUGCAAGUCUGAAGUGAAAGCCCGUGGCUUAACCGCGGAACGGCUUUGGAAACUGUGGAACUGGAGUGCUGGA